UAGGGAAUCUUCGGCAAUGGACGGAAGUCUGACCGAGCAACGCCGCGUGAGUGAAGAAGGUUUUCGGAUCGUAAAGCUCUGUUGUUAGAGAAGAACGUUGGUAGGAGUGGAAAAUCUACCAAGUGACGGUAACUAACCAGAAAGGGACGGCUAACUACGUGCCAGCAGCCGCGGUAAUACGUAGGUCCCGAGCGUUGUCCGGAUUUAUUGGGCGUAAAGCGCGCGCAGGCGGUUCUUUAAGUCUGAAGUUAAAGGCAGUGGCUUAACCAUUGUACGCUUUGGAAACUGGAGGACUUGAGUGCAGAAGGGGAGAGUGGAAUUCCAUGUGUAGCGGUGAAAUGCGUAGAUAUAUGGAGGAACACCGGUGGCGAAGGCGGCUCUCUGGUCUGUACCUGACGCUGAGGCUCGAAAGCGUGGGGAGCAAACAGG
This 429-nucleotide ribosomal RNA is filed under the name Bacillota bacterium. Its description in RNAcentral is "Firmicutes bacterium partial 16S ribosomal RNA". It matches the Rfam family "Bacterial small subunit ribosomal RNA", at positions 355 to 776 of the family's 1533-position model. The record is from RNAcentral. Lineage: Bacteria; Bacillati; Bacillota.